GCGUAAGCGCGCGCAGGCGGUCCUUUAAGUCUGAUGUGAAAGCCCACCGCUCAACCGGGGAGGGGCAUUGGAAACUGGGGGACUUGAGUGCAGAAGAGGAAGGUGGAAUUCCCAGUGUAGCGGUGAAAUGCGUAGAGAUUUGGAGGAACACCAGUGGCGAAGGCGACUUUCUGGUCUGUUACUGACGCUGAGGCGCGAAAGCGUGGGGAGCAAACAGGAUUAGAUACCCUGGUAGUCCACGCCGUAAACGAUGACUGCUAAGUGUUAGGGGGUUUCCGCCCCUUAUGGCUGCACCUAACGCAUUAAGCGCUCCGCCGGGGGAGUACGGUCGCAGGACUGAAACUCAAUGGAUUUGACGGGGGCCCGCACAAGCGGGGAAGCAUGUGGUUUAUUUCAAACCACCGCGAAAAACCUUACCAGGUCUUGACUUCCCGGUGACCUCUGUAGAUAUA
This 452-nucleotide ribosomal RNA is filed under the name Lysinibacillus fusiformis. Its description in RNAcentral is "bacterial SSU rRNA". It matches the Rfam family "Bacterial small subunit ribosomal RNA", at positions 558 to 1008 of the family's 1533-position model. Lineage: Bacteria; Bacillati; Bacillota; Bacilli; Caryophanales; Bacillaceae. The record is from RNAcentral.